GGGUUGUGAGGUUAAGCGACUAAGCGUACACGGUGGAUGCCCUGGCAGUCAGAGGCGAUGAAGGACGUGCUAAUCUGCGAUAAGCGCCGGUAAGGUGAUAUGAACCGUUAUAACCGGCGAUUUCCGAAUGGGGAAACCCAGUGUGACUCGUCACACUAUCAUUAACUGAAUCCAUAGGUUAAUGAGGCGAACCGGGGGAACUGAAACAUCUAAGUACCCCGAGGAAAAGAAAUCAACCGAGAUUCCCCCAGUAGCGGCGAGCGAACGGGGAGGAGCCCAGAGCCUGAAUCAGCAUGUGUGUUAGUGGAAGCGUCUGGAAAGGCGCGCGAUACAGGGUGACA
This 341-nucleotide ribosomal RNA is filed under the name Salmonella enterica. Its description in RNAcentral is "bacterial LSU rRNA". It matches the Rfam family "Bacterial large subunit ribosomal RNA", at positions 1 to 369 of the family's 2925-position model. Lineage: Bacteria; Pseudomonadati; Pseudomonadota; Gammaproteobacteria; Enterobacterales; Enterobacteriaceae. RNAcentral also lists the same sequence under 6 other names. The record is from RNAcentral.